RNAcentral lists this ribosomal RNA (782 nucleotides) under uncultured bacterium. RNAcentral's name for it is "bacterial SSU rRNA". It matches the Rfam family "Bacterial small subunit ribosomal RNA", at positions 8 to 837 of the family's 1533-position model. The record is from RNAcentral.
AGAGUUUGAUCCUGGCUCAGAACGAACGCUGGCGGCAGGCCUAAUACAUGCAAGUCGAGCGCAUCCUUCGGGAUGAGCGGCGGACGGGUGAGUAACGCGUGGGAAUAUGCCCUUCUCUAAGGAAUAGCCUCGGGAAACUGAGAGUAAUACCUUAUACGCCCUUCGGGGGAAAGAUUUAUCGGAGAAGGAUUAGCCCGCGUUAGAUUAGGUAGUUGGUGGGGUAAUGGCCUACCAAGCCUACGAUCUAUAGCUGGUUUGAGAGGAUGAUCAGCCACACUGGGACUGAGACACGGCCCAGACUCCUACGGGAGGCAGCAGUAGGGAAUCUUAGACAAUGGGGGAAACCCUGAUCUAGCCAUGCCGCGUGUGUGAUGAAGGCCUUAGGGUCGUAAAGCACUUUCGCCAGAGAUGAUAAUGACAGUAUCUGGUAAAGAAACCCCGGCUAACUCCGUGCCAGCAGCCGCGGUAAUACGGAGGGGGUUAGCGUUGUUCGGAAUUACUGGGCGUAAAGCGCACGUAGGCGGAUUAGUAAGUUAAGGGUGAAAUCCCAGGGCUCAACCCUGGAACUGCCUUUAAUACUGCUAGUCUUGAGUUCGAGAGAGGUAAGUGGAAUUCCAAGUGUAGAGGUGAAAUUCGUAGAUAUUUGGAGGAACACCAGUGGCGAAGGCGGCUUACUGGCUCGAAACUGACGCUGAGGUGCGAAAGUGUGGGGAGCAAACAGGAUUAGAUACCCUGGUAGUCCACACCGUAAACGAUGAAUGCCAGACGUCAGCAAGUAUACU